UGUUUAGUUGUGAAUUAUCCAUUCACAACAACACUCAUCGAAUUCUUCUUUAUUAACAAGAGCAAAUUAGCAACAUGAACUUGGUUCUUGGAAGCCCUUCAGAUUAUCAAGGUUUUCUUUUGUGGUGGAUUCUAUUGUAGAGGAUGCCCCAUAUCUACGGGUGAAGUAAAGCUUAGAAGUUCAAAUCCGACUGAUUCUCCGGAUGUUAAAUUCAACAAUUUCAAAGAACCAGAAGACAUGGAAAAAUGUGUUGAUGGGAUUAGUACCUAAAAGCAAUUGAAUCUAAAGCACUAUCUAAGUUUAGAUAUGCAAAUAUGACUACUCAGUUAAAAUUGGUAGGCUGUUGACGAGUCGAGCCGAAUCGAGCGGACCUUUGCUCGUAUUUGGCUCGUUUACAAACUGAAUCGAGCGCAGCGGCUCAUUUAAAACCGAGCCUCAAAUUAAUAGAGCAUUUUUCGAGCAGUAAAUAUUCCAAACGAGCGUCGAGUGAAGUUCAAGCGAUUUGGACAAUCAUGUCGCCCGAGUUAAAUUUGCUGGGAGAGAUAGUGACAAUGUUUGGUCUCAAGUUUUAUGUCUUUAAAAACAGGCAUAUUUCAUGGCAUAGUAUUUUUCUUAUGAAUAAUAAUGUUGUGGUCGACGAGGCGAUGAUUAUAUUUCACGAACAAUAACGUUGAGAACAGAAGGCGUUCGACUUAGGGUAAUGACACAAAACAUUGAGGUGAUGAGCAGACUGUUGUUUAUUGGUUUAGAGUUUAAUUUUUAGAUUUGAUAUUAAUUUUUUAUUGGCGUGAUUGAACUAGUACGUAUGAAUAUAGUUGUAAAUUUAUAUAUAGUGGAC
This 838-nucleotide long non-coding RNA is filed under the name Helianthus annuus (common sunflower). The record is from RNAcentral. Lineage: Eukaryota; Viridiplantae; Streptophyta; Magnoliopsida; Asterales; Asteraceae.